Molecule: transfer RNA, 72 nt
Filed under: Vicugna pacos (alpaca)
Lineage: Eukaryota; Metazoa; Chordata; Mammalia; Artiodactyla; Camelidae
Also listed under: 1 other name
Rfam family: tRNA
About the family: Transfer RNA (tRNA) molecules are approximately 80 nucleotides in length. Their secondary structure includes four short double-helical elements and three loops (D, anti-codon, and T loops).
Source: Rfam by way of RNAcentral
GGGGGUUUAGCUCAGUGGUAAGGUGCAUGCCUAACAUGCAUGAAGUUCUGGGUUAAAUCCCCAGGACCUCCA